This 497-nucleotide ribosomal RNA is filed under the name uncultured bacterium. RNAcentral describes it as "partial 16S ribosomal RNA". It matches the Rfam family "Bacterial small subunit ribosomal RNA", at positions 28 to 507 of the family's 1533-position model. The record is from RNAcentral.
GAUGAACGCUGGCGGCGUGCCUAAUACAUGCGAGUAGAACGCUGAAGGAAGGAGCUUGCUCUUUCCGGAUGAGUUGCGAACGGGUGAGUAACGCGUAGGUAACCUGCCUGGUAGCGGGGGAUAACUAUUGGAAACGAUAGCUAAUACCGCAUAACAGUAGAUGUUGCAUGAUAUCUACUUAAAAGGUGCAAUUGCACCACUACCAGAUGGACCUGCGUUGUAUUAGCUAGUUGGUGAGGUAACGGCUCACCAAGGCGACGAUACAUAGCCGACCUGAGAGGGUGAUCGGCCACACUGGGACUGAGACACGGCCCAGACGCCUACGGGAGGCAGCAGUAGGGAAUCUUCGGCAAUGGACGGAAGUCUGACCGAGCAACGCCGCGUGAGUGAAGAAGGUUUUCGGAUCGUAAAGCUCUGUUGUAAGAGAAGAACGAGUGUGAGAGUGGAAAGUUCACACUGUGACGGUAUCUUACCAGAAAGGGACGGCUAACUACGUG